Molecule: ribosomal RNA, 513 nt
Filed under: Porphyromonas sp.
Lineage: Bacteria; Pseudomonadati; Bacteroidota; Bacteroidia; Bacteroidales; Porphyromonadaceae
Description: partial 23S ribosomal RNA
Rfam family: Bacterial large subunit ribosomal RNA
Source: RNAcentral
GAGUAGCGGCGAGCGAAACGGGAAGAGCCCAAACCAGUGUGCAUGCACACUGGGGUUGUAGGACUCUAACGUGGACUCAAAUGAGUUAGUAGAAGCUGGUGGGAAACAGCGCCAAAGAGGGUGAGAGCCCCGUAUACGAAAACUGAUUUGUACCUAAGAGUAUCCUGAGUACGGCGGAACACGUGGAAUUCCGUCGGAAUCCGCCAGGACCAUCUGGCAAGGCUAAAUACUCCCUAGUGACCGAUAGUGNNNNNNNNNNGAGUGAAAGAGUACCUGAAACCGUGUGCUUACAAGUAGUCAGAGCCCGUUAAGGGGUGAUGGCGUACCUUUUGUAGAAUGGACCGGCGAGUGACGAUAGUUGGCGAGGUUAAGUUGAAGAAACGGAGCCGUAGCGAAAGCGAGUCUGAAUAGGGCGAAAGUCAGGUGUCGUCGACCCGAAACCAAGUGACCUACCCAUGUGCAGGUUGAAGGUGCGGUAAGACGCACUGGAGGACCGAACCAGGACACGUUGAA